This 376-nucleotide ribosomal RNA is filed under the name uncultured organism. Its description in RNAcentral is "partial 16S ribosomal RNA". It matches the Rfam family "Bacterial small subunit ribosomal RNA", at positions 527 to 896 of the family's 1533-position model. The record is from RNAcentral.
GGAGGGUGCAAGCGUUGUUCGGAAUUAUUGGGCGUAAAGAGCGUGUAGGCGGUCCGGUAAGUCAGAUGUGAAAGCCCUGGGCUCAACCCAGGAAGUGCAUUUGAAACUACCAGACUUGAGUACGGGAGAGGAGGGGGGAAUUCCCGGUGUAGAGGUGAAAUUCGUAGAUAUCGGGAGGAAUACCAGUGGCGAAGGCGCCCCUCUGGACCGAUACUGACGCUGAGACGCGAAAGCGUGGGGAGCAAACAGGAUUAGAUACCCUGGUAGUCCACGCCGUAAACCGAUGAGCACUAGGUGUAGCGGGUAUUGACCCCCCCUGCUGUGCCCGUAGCUAACGCAUUAAGUGCUCCGCCUGGGGACUACGGUCGCAAGACUA